Long non-coding RNA from Dioscorea cayenensis subsp. rotundata (Guinea yam), 374 nucleotides. RefSeq lists it as uncharacterized. The record is from RefSeq and is a predicted model, not a curated record. The transcript has 3 exons. NCBI's taxonomy places the organism in Eukaryota, Viridiplantae, Streptophyta, Magnoliopsida, Dioscoreales, Dioscoreaceae.
AGUGAGACUCUCACUCCCCAAGAAUUGAGCGGACUGGCCACUCCUGGACAUAGAAAUGACAUAUAUGCCCCUAGGUUAAAAGAUCCAUAUUCUCUCUGUGAGAACCGAGCUUCACCAUUCUCAUCUUCGCCGACCUCUCAUCUUCGACCACGAUCAUUCUCUGGAAACCACACGGUUCCGAUCGGAGGAGAGAAUGGAAAGCUCGACGGAGAAGGAUUGUAGGAUUAUCAAGUGUUGAAUCCAUGGUUUGAGAAGUUGUGGAAGCAGUUUGGGAUUGCAUAGGUUUUGUGAAGUCAAUUGAUUCAAGAGAAUCCUUGUUCGUCUGUGACAAUCAUCAACACUCUCUGAAUGAGGCUUCCCAGAGGAUUAAGCGC